AAGGACAAACCGGAUAAGCUGUC
RNAcentral lists this small nuclear RNA (23 nucleotides) under Arabidopsis thaliana (thale cress). RNAcentral's name for it is "snRNA_18313". Lineage: Eukaryota; Viridiplantae; Streptophyta; Magnoliopsida; Brassicales; Brassicaceae. The record is from RNAcentral.